AUGUGCCCGUUGCAACGGGAGAAACAAAUUCUAGCAUGCAUUAAUGAAACAAAUUCUAGCACAGCAAAUAAUCAAUCCCAAGGCGGUCACUCUGUUUUAUUGGUGUCCAAAAAAAAAUCUAAAUUAGCUAGAAGAUUGCCUCAUCCCUUCCUAGGAGAAUGUAUCCUGUGCACCGGAUGAAUUGGUGCAACGAAUGUGCCGACUGAUUCUGGGCCACUGGAUGAAGAACAGACGGGUUGGAUCUUAGUAUAAGGUGGCAGCCGGUACAUUUCACACAAUGGACCUUGUAAAGUCAUUCAACUACACAAGCAGUCCUUCCAAGAUCCCAUCGUCUUCUUCCCUUCGCUCUUCUCCCUUCUGUACCUGUACACCGAGGAUUUGCAAGCUAGGCUCUGUACAAGCGCCCCCUCUCCCCUGAAACGACCGCGCCACCGACGAGCGCUUACAUGUAGCGCCGCCGUGCUGUAGGUCUGGGCAACAUUGACCCAGCCAUCGCAAAGCCGGCCAUCUUCUGCAGCUUAAAGUAUCCAGGGAAUGAAGAGCAGACAUUAAGGUCAAGAUCUGGAACAAGAAUAUAUUUUGUAAUGGCAGCAAGUAAGAAUAUAUUUUUUGCAAUCAACACUCACCAAUGGUUUUAGGAGUAAGAGCCAUGAUCUGGUACACAAAUCUUAAGCAGUGUCACUGAAAUGGUCUUUAGCAUAAAGUUUAUUCUUACCCAAUCAGAUAAUUUGGUUGACCUCUCAUAUUGGAUAUGCUUCUAAAAAUAGAUGAUGUUCCUAUUUUUUCAGGUACUGUCUGGAUGUUCAGCUGCAAGCUCAUUUAUAGUUACUUUGUCUCUUCUAGCCAGCCAAGAUAUCUCUGUCAGAUGAUGAGGGGAGCUGCUAAUUCAGGAUAUAUUGGCAUCUGAAACGUAAUGUAUCUCUUGUAGUAAAGUUAUUGACAACAGAACAUGGUGGACCUUCUGUUCAAGAGUUGUGUAGAACAAGCUAUCCUUAUGAAAUAUGUGCGUCAUAUAUAUGUACACAAUGAGUGAAUCCGACUGUGUAUACGACAGUGGUGUACAAGAAAUUUAAAUAUGGUACUGUCAAGUUUUCUACGAGACAAUUGUAGCCUGGAUGAAAUUACUUUAGUGCAUCUUGAAGCCUUAGUGCA
Non-coding RNA from Triticum urartu, 1152 nucleotides. The record is from RefSeq and is a predicted model, not a curated record. Lineage: Eukaryota; Viridiplantae; Streptophyta; Magnoliopsida; Poales; Poaceae.